UGUUGCUACGGCAGCACGUAUACUAAAAUUGGAACGAUACAGAGAUGAUUCGCACGGCCCUGCGCAAGGACGACACGUGAAGUAUAACUCUAGUCCAUUUAA
Small nuclear RNA from Pangasianodon hypophthalmus (striped catfish), 102 nucleotides. Lineage: Eukaryota; Metazoa; Chordata; Actinopteri; Siluriformes; Pangasiidae. The record is from RefSeq and is a predicted model, not a curated record.